Long non-coding RNA from Carassius auratus (goldfish), 394 nucleotides. RefSeq lists it as uncharacterized. The transcript is spliced from 3 exons. The record is from RefSeq and is a predicted model, not a curated record. NCBI's taxonomy places the organism in Eukaryota, Metazoa, Chordata, Actinopteri, Cypriniformes, Cyprinidae.
AUGAACCUCACUCAAGAGAGACAAAAGCUGCAGACUAAGAUCACCAACCUCACUCAAGAGAGACAACAGCUACUAACCAACAAUAUGAACCUCACUCAAGAGAGACAACAGCUGAAUACUAAGAUCAUCAACCUCACAGAAGAGAGAGACCAGUUGAAAUCAGAAAAAAAUGAACUUCGGAAGAAUUUUGCGGAUGGAUGGAAGUGUCAUCAAUCCAGUUUUUAUUUCUUUUCCUCUGAGAUGAAGAACUGGAAUGAGAGCAGAAGAUACUGUAGAGAGAGAGGAGCAGAUCUGAUCAUCAUCAACAACAGAGAGGAACAAGAUUUUGUGAAGAAUAUUUCUGUUGGUUCUGAAUAUUUCUGGAUUGGUUUGACUGAUAUUGAAGAGGAGGACA